CUAAGAAUCUUCCACAAUGGACGGAAGUCUGAUGGAGCGACGCCGCGUGGACGAUGAAGGCCGUGAGGUUGUAAAGUCCUUUUCGGGAGGGGGAAUAACCCGGGGAGGGAAUGCCCCGGGGAUGACGUGAAUCCCGGAAUAAGCCCCGGCUAAUUACGUGCCAGCAGCCGCGGUAACACGUAAGUUGCGAGCGUUGUUCGGAAUUAUUGGGCGUAAAGGGCAUGUAGGCGGUUAUCUAAGCUUGGUGUGAAAGGCAGGGGCUCAACUCCUGGACUGCAUUGAGAACUGGAUAACUAGAGUUACUGAAGUGAAAUCAGAAUUCCAGGUGUAGGGGUGAAAUCUGUAGAUAUCUGGAAGAAUACCAAUGGCGAAGGCAGGUUUCAGGCAGAUAACUGAC
Molecule: ribosomal RNA, 397 nt
Filed under: uncultured Treponema sp.
Lineage: Bacteria; Pseudomonadati; Spirochaetota; Spirochaetia; Treponematales; Treponemataceae
Description: bacterial SSU rRNA
Rfam family: Bacterial small subunit ribosomal RNA
Source: RNAcentral